AAUUUGUGCUCCAUUGGUUGUUUUCGAUUUUUUACCAACAUUUGCUGUGAUGGUGAUAUAGUGUGAUGUUCUUACUGGGCUAGUGUAGCUCAUUCCUUAUUUAACCAUUUCAGAUCAGGAGGCCCUGGUUCCUGAGCCCGAUCCACAAGAAGACAGCGAGUAGAUGCUAGAUGUUUUAUAGUUUUCUUUAUUUUUCUCAUUUCUCGUAUUUCUUUUAGAGAGCUUAUUCAGUGACAUUGUUUAGUACUUU
This 250-nucleotide long non-coding RNA is filed under the name Carica papaya (papaya). Its description in RNAcentral is "long non-coding RNA (CPAP_LNC014577)". Lineage: Eukaryota; Viridiplantae; Streptophyta; Magnoliopsida; Brassicales; Caricaceae. The record is from RNAcentral.